UUUACCAUGAAGAGUUUGAUCCUGGCUCAGGAUGAACGCUAGCGACAGGCUUAACACAUGCAAGUCGAGGGGCAGCACGGUGUAGCAAUACACUGGUGGCGACCGGCGCACGGGUGAGUAACACGUGUGCAACCAACCCCGUACCGGGAGAUAACCCGCGGAAACGUGGACUAACAUCCCAUAANNNNNNNNNNNNNNNNNNAUUUAAAAUUCCGGUGGUACGGGACGGGCACGCGCGACAUUAGGUAGUUGGCGGGGUAACGGCCCACCAAGCCGACGAUGUCUAGGGGUUCUGAGAGGAAGGUCCCCCACACUGGAACUGAGACACGGUCCAGACUCCUACGGGAGGCAGCAGUGAGGAAUAUUGGUCAAUGGGCGAGAGCCUGAACCAGCCAAGUCGCGUGAGGGAAGAAUGGUCUAUGGCCUGUAAACCUCUUUUGUCAAGGAAGAAUAGACGGCACGCGUGCUGUUUUGCCAGUACUUGACGAAUAAGCAUCGGCUAACUCCGUGCCAGCAGCCGCGGUAAUACGGGGGA
This 535-nucleotide ribosomal RNA is filed under the name Odoribacter sp. AM16-33. Its description in RNAcentral is "partial 16S ribosomal RNA". It matches the Rfam family "Bacterial small subunit ribosomal RNA", at positions 1 to 532 of the family's 1533-position model. Lineage: Bacteria; Pseudomonadati; Bacteroidota; Bacteroidia; Bacteroidales; Odoribacteraceae. The record is from RNAcentral.